GUGGGGAAUAUUGCACAAUGGGGGAAACCCUGAUGCAGCCAUGCCGCGUGUGUGAAGAAGGCCUUCGGGUUGUAAAGCACUUUCAGUGGGGAGGAAGGGCUGAUGACUAAUAUUCAUCAGCAUUGACGUUACCCACAGAAGAAGCACCGGCUAACUCCGUGCCAGCAGCCGCGGUAAUACGGAGGGUGCAAGCGUUAAUCGGAAUAACUGGGCGUAAAGCGCACGCAGGCGGUUAGAUAAGUCAGAUGUGAAAGCCCCGGGCUCAACCUGGGAACUGCAUUUGAAACUGUCUGACUAGAGUCUUGUAGAGGGGGGUAGAAUUCCAGGUGUAGCGGUGAAAUGCGUAGAGAUCUGGAGGAAUACCGGUGGCGAAGGCGGCCCCCUGGACAGGUACUGACGCUGAGGCGCGAAAGCGUGGGGAGCAAACAGGAUUAGAUACCCGAGUAGUCC
This 450-nucleotide ribosomal RNA is filed under the name uncultured bacterium. RNAcentral describes it as "partial 16S ribosomal RNA". It matches the Rfam family "Bacterial small subunit ribosomal RNA", at positions 354 to 796 of the family's 1533-position model. The record is from RNAcentral.